AUGACUGGUAUGAGAAGUAGCCCCUCUACUGGACAGAGGGGACUAAGUGGCAACCCAGCAGGGAAGAAGAUGCAGAGAGGAAGAAGCCUGGCCCUGCUGUGGGAAGAGUUGGUGGAGUUGGCAUCCGAUGUCAGGAGGCCAUUGAGUGCCCCUGCGGCUGGCCUUCAACUCAGUCUGCAACGGAUCAGAAUGCCUGCUACAACCACACUGACUCACAACCACAAUCUCCACAACAACUGCAGCUCCAACAACCACACCGUAUGAUAGCUGAAAUGACGCCGUAACUGCAGCAGCCAGAGGAGCACACGACGCCAGCAACAAUCACCCUACUGUAUAGACACAGCCACCUGCAGCUGCCUCGUCGUCACCUGCCAUUUACGAAACAUGCACUCUGCUCUCACUUGGGACCCGGGUCCCCAGAGGGCCUCCCAGGCUCGAAAGCCUUCAGGUGGUAAGGGGUGGGAUGGAGUUCCUCAGGGGAACCAGGUUCAGGACAAAGCCACCUCCUUUGAGAGAAGGUGUAGUCCCUUGAGGACCCCCUGUCAAAUUGACCAUAAGCCCUCCAGGCCCAGCGUCCUUCUGAUUCUUUUCCAGUGGUUGCCCUGAGAUACUUAUGCUGCCCUCUAAGCAUAAAUAAAUGGCCUUUGUGCCUGACGAACAGGGCGAGUUGGCUCGAUUUCCUUUGGUGCUUGCGGCUCACGUCCUGUGGCACCAGGCAGCAGCUAGCCAAUCUCAAACCCCAAGGGAGGUCAAUGCUGUCCCUUUAGCAACUCUGUUCUGACAGCCUUUGGCUGGCCGCUGCCAUCCAGCUCAGCCAAAAGCACAGUACCUG
Molecule: long non-coding RNA, 832 nt
Filed under: Fukomys damarensis (Damara mole-rat)
Lineage: Eukaryota; Metazoa; Chordata; Mammalia; Rodentia; Bathyergidae
Description: lncRNA (ENSFDAG00000023759.1)
Source: RNAcentral